RNAcentral lists this ribosomal RNA (526 nucleotides) under uncultured bacterium. Its description in RNAcentral is "bacterial SSU rRNA". It matches the Rfam family "Bacterial small subunit ribosomal RNA", at positions 848 to 1377 of the family's 1533-position model. The record is from RNAcentral.
GCAGUUAAAACAAUAAGUACCCCGCCUGGGAGUACGUUCGCAAGAUUAAAAUUCAAAGGAAUUGACGGGGCCCGCACAAGCAGGGGAGCAUGUGGUUUAAUUGGAAGCAACGGGAAGAACCUUACCUAGACUUGACAUCUCCUGAAUAGUGCAGAGAUGCAUGAAGCCCUUCGGGGCAGGAAGACAGGUGGUGCAUGGUUGUCGUCAGCUCGUGUCGUGAGAUGUUGGGUUAAGUCCCGCAACGAGCGCAACCCCUAUCAUUAGUAGCCAGCAGUUCGGCUGGGCACUCUAGGGAGACUGCCAGGGAUAACCUGGAGGAAGGCGGGGAUGACGUCAAAUCAUCAUGCCCCUUAUGAUCUGGGCUACACACGUGCUACAAUGGUGGCUACAAAGAGAAGCAACCUCGCGAGAGUGAGCAAAUCUCAGAAAGGCCAUCCCAGUUCGGAUUGUAGUCUGCAACUCGACUACAUGAAGCUGGAAUCGCUAGUAAUCGCGAAUCAGAAUGUCGCGGUGAAUACGUUCCCGG